Molecule: ribosomal RNA, 460 nt
Filed under: uncultured bacterium
Lineage: Bacteria
Description: partial 16S ribosomal RNA
Rfam family: Bacterial small subunit ribosomal RNA
Source: RNAcentral
CCUACGGGAGGCUGCAGUGAGGAAUAUUGGUCAAUGGGCGGAAGCCUGAACCAGCCAAGUAGCGUGCAGGAUGACGGCCCUAAGGGUUGUAAACUGCUUUUAUACGGGAAUAACGCGCCUUACGUGUAGGGCUUUGCAUGUACCGUAUGAAUAAGGACCGGCUAAUUCCGUGCCAGCAGCCGCGGUAAUACGGAAGGUCCGGGCGUUAUCCGGAUUUAUUGGGUUUAAAGGGGGCGUAGGCCGCAUGUCAAGCGUGCUGUGAAAGGUUCGGGCUCAACCCGGGCCUUGCAGUGCAAACUGGCGUGCUUGAGUCCGCGGAAGGCAGGCGGAAUUCGUCGUGUAGCGGUGAAAUGCUUAGAUAUGACGAAGAACCCCGAUUGCGAAGGCAGCUUGCUGCAGCGGAACUGACGCUGAUGCUCGAAAGCGCGGGUAUCGAACAGGAUUAGAUACCCCAGUAGUC